Molecule: ribosomal RNA, 253 nt
Filed under: uncultured bacterium
Lineage: Bacteria
Description: partial 16S ribosomal RNA
Rfam family: Bacterial small subunit ribosomal RNA
Source: RNAcentral
UACAGAGGUCUCAAGCGUUGUUCGGAUUCAUUGGGCGUAAAGGGUGCGUAGGCGGCGCGGUAAGUCGGGUGUGAAAUUUCGAGGCUUAACUUCGAAACUGCAUUCAAUACUGCCGUGCUAGAGGACUGGAGAGGAGACUGGAAUUUACGGUGUAGCGGUGAAAUGCGUAGAUAUCGUAAGGAAGACCAGUGGCGAAGGCGGGUCUCUGGACAGUUCCUGACGCUGAGGCACGAAGGCCAGGGGAGCAAACGGG